Non-coding RNA from Mycena maculata, 81 nucleotides. The record is from the annotation of a GenBank genome assembly. Lineage: Eukaryota; Fungi; Basidiomycota; Agaricomycetes; Agaricales; Mycenaceae.
GCCAUAGCAUAGUGGUAUGUGCCAGAUUCCAGCAUUUAGUAGCAUCUUCUGGAGUUCCAGGUUCAGUUCCUGGCCAUGUCA